AAUAAACAUCAAAAAAAUAAUUAAAAAGUAAUUCAAAGGGGUUAUUAAGGAAAACUAAGGCAAAUUUAUAUAAAAGGAGGUAUAUAACCAAAAGUUUACAAAGCGUAUAGCUAGAAUUAUGUAAGCGAUCCUAAGGUAAACCUUUUAAUUAAGUACUUCCUGAAGUAAAACAUUUUAUUAGGGAAAGGAAAGGAAAUCAACCGAGACUCCGAAAGUAAUGGUGAGUGAAAUCGGAUUAGCCUAAUUAAUUAAAUAAAUUGAAAAACUUAAAUAUCCUUAUUGAAAAAUGAUUCUUUUCUUAAAAAUUAAAGAAAUAUCUUAUUAUUUAAUAAAUAUGUAGAACACUACUCAUUUAAUUUAAAGAUAUGUUAGUUACUAUUACUUUUUCUUUUUUUUUUUAAUCUUAAAUAUAGGUAGCUGCUAAGAGGUUCGCUUCUUCGCAAGUAUUAAUUUAUGGUUAAUAUUUAAAAAGAUAGGUAUUAAUCUAAAGAAGGUUAAAAACUAAAGACCUGUAGGUUUAUUAAUUAAUAAAUAGGAAUAAAUUAGAAAUAUAUUAUAAUUAAAAAUUUUAAAAAAAAUAAUUUGUUAAGUUAUAUCUUUUUUAAAUUAUUUUAUUAUUUUGGAAAGCCUAAAUUUAAACCUGAAAAGUACGAUGAGAGAAAACUUGUCGGAAUAUAGGGGUACCAUCCUCUAAGGCUAAGUAUUAUAAAUUUAGCGAUAGUGAAUAAGUACUGUAAAGGAAAAGUUUGAAAAGCGAGUGUUAUACAAAAAAGUGAACUUCUAAAAUUUUAAUUAAAAUUAAAAUUUUUAUUAGUGAAUCGGUGAAAUAGAUCAUGAAUUAGUAACUCUAUAAGCAGUCGAAAUUCUACUUGAAAACAUAAAAGAUUCAUGAAUAACGGCGUACCUUUUGCAUAAUGGGUCAGCAAGUUAAUAUGAGUAGCAAGGUUUAAAGCCCUAGCGAAAGCGACUGGACUAUAAUUUAAAUAUCUAGUACACGGUAAAAUUUGUACACAUAUCUGUAAUAACCUAAUAAUAAUAAAAUAAAACCUAUUAUAAAUAGGAGUUUACAGAUGUCUCCCAAAGAAAUUUAUAUAUAUGUAGUGAUGGGUUAGUUACUUCUAUUAGACCCGAAGCCAGGUGAUCUUACCAAGACCAGAUUAUAAUAGAUCGAACGGGUGAAUGUUGCAUAAUUCUCCGAUGAGUUUUGGUAAGCGGUGAAAUGCCAAUCUGACCUGGUGCUAGCUGGUUUUCUACCGAAACAUAUUUAAGUAUGAUGUCUACACAAAAUUUAUGGAGGUACAGCAAGGCAAUUCCCAACAAGUUUAAGGAACAUAUUUAGUCUUUUUUUUUUUAAAAAAAAAAAAAAAGAAGAAAAAUAAUAUGUAUAUCUUUUAGGCGUUUAGGUUGCGGGGACCUCGAAAAUCUUACCUUUGGAAGCGAAUCUCGGAAUUACAUAAAUUGAUGGUAGAUAUUCAGACUACUCAUGCUAAGUUGGGUAGUCAAGACGGAAACAGCCGAGAACACUGAUCAAGGUCCCAAAUGAUUGUUAAGUGAAAUUAAGGACGUAGCAAUAUCGCAUACAGCUGUGAAGUGAGCCUGGUAGUCGCUACUUAUAAUGAUCGUAUGUAACAACGCAUCAGCAGUUAGAUAGUAGCGCCGAAAAUUUAACGGGUCUUAAACAAUCAACCGAUAUCGUGUUGGUUUAAAGUAUAAUUUAAAUCUAGGUAGUAGAACAUUCAGUCAAACUAAUUAUAAAAUAGUGUUUCAUUAUUUUUUAGGUUACUGAAGAGAGAAUGCUGACAUGAGUAACGUAAAAAAUUCCUAUAAUGGAAUUCGCCGAAUACGAAAGGGUUGCAAAUUUGAAAGGUUAAUCCGUUUUGUUUGAAUGCGGCCUCUAAGGACCAAAACCAAAGUUUUGGCUGAUGAGUAUAUAAUAGAAAGUCCAAAAUUUAAGGACCAGGAAAUUAAUAUUAAAAAUAAUAAUUUUAGAUAUGCUAGUUUACAAACUCAAAAUGAAGGUAAAACUUAUAGAAUAAAGUUUGAAUGGGGAAAUAAAAUAAGAGUUAUGCAUUUCAUGUACAUAAUCUUUUUGAUGAAUGGGUCUCGAUGUCGACUCAUCCUAUCCUCCGGGGGAAGAAGCUUGGAAGGGUUCGGCUGUUCGCCGAUUAAAAGGGUACGUGAGUUGGGUUUAAUACGACGUGAGUCAGUAUGGUCCCUAUCUUCUGGAGGGAUAAUUAGUAAAAAGGGGCAGACCUUCUAGUACGAAAGGAUCAAUAGGCUGUGUUUCUCUAGUGUACCAAUUGUUUGUACUAUUUUGUUAAGACCCUAUCUCUCCCCUUUGGGGCUUGAGAUAAAGAUAAUGGGGUAAAAUCCUUUUGGACUUUAAGCUAAAAGUUCUUUAAUUUAAAUACCCUUAAAAUAGGUUAUGAUAAAAGGUUACAAAAUGGGAAGGCAUAGUUGGGUAGCCACAAACAUAAUAGAUAAGUGCUGAAUGUCUAUAAAGCAAGAAUCUAACCCCUAGAUACUUACAAAAUGAUUAAUUGUCUAAAGUUUAAGCUUAUUUUUAAGUUUAAUUUAGAUUUUUAAGCAUAAAUUAAGAAAUAGAACAUUUCUAGAUAGGCUGCAAAUAAAACAUAUUGUAAGAUAUUUAGUUUAGCAGUACUAAUUUAUAAAGAAACUUGAUG
RNAcentral lists this ribosomal RNA (2684 nucleotides) under Myochromella boudieri. RNAcentral describes it as "23S ribosomal RNA". It matches the Rfam family "Bacterial large subunit ribosomal RNA". The record is from RNAcentral. Lineage: Eukaryota; Fungi; Basidiomycota; Agaricomycetes; Agaricales; Lyophyllaceae.